Esox lucius (northern pike) is the source of this 1221-nucleotide long non-coding RNA. Lineage: Eukaryota; Metazoa; Chordata; Actinopteri; Esociformes; Esocidae. The record is from Ensembl.
GGGCUGCUUUUAUUUAACAUUAGUUAGACAACAUUUCAGACAAGAUAUGAAAAUACAUGCUAUUCUACAGAACAUUAAACAACACAGUGCAGAGAAAGCUAUAAAUUUGCCACAACACCAGGCCACAUUUCUGUGUUAAUAUUCAAAGUUAUCUAAACCCAACCAACAUGAAUUGACAGAAUUGUUUUCCAUCAAUGAACAAAGCUUUUGUCAGGUCAAAUAAACGGUUUUCUCAGAGGGGACAUCUACAAUAAUGUAUAGGUUGCAUGUAGCUCACUUGUGUUUGCAACACCAGGAUUGACUUCAAUCCGUAUGGGGGGCCAGUACAAAAAAAGAUAAAGAUGUGUAUGAAAAUGUAUGCAACCUGCCAAUGUAAGUCAAUUACUACUAUAAAUGUAGUAUGACCAGGACUGAAGAAGUAAAGAACGGAUAGUUUGAAGACUGUACAUACACCUUAAAAACAGGUUAACAUUUUACAGUAUAGACCCAGGGACAUUCAAAACUAAUUUCAGGACUAAACUACAUGUGCACAUUUGUCAUCCCUCCACAGUGAAAGAAAGUGAAGAUUCUUGGUCAGAAAACUUUUUUUGGAAUGUUAUAACAACAUAUUUAACAUUUCUUCUUUACAGAUAAAUAAUACAUAUAAAAAAAAAAAACUGGCACAGCCUGUCGGCCGUUGAUUUGAAUUCCACACACAUAGCUCACAAAUCAAACCCUCCAACUAAUAUAAAAUAUUCAAUAAACAUUGUGCUAUACUCAUGAUGCCUGGUUUAUUGCAUCAGUGGUAUAUUUAGUAACCCUCAUUUUAAUCUUCCUUGACCCUUUCCAUAAAAAGUAAUGGUGCAAAUAACAUUUGACCUUUCCUACUAAACAGUAAGCAUCCUCUCUGCUGCAAUAAUCCUAUUGUAAACAUGUUCAGAAACCAAAGUAUUAAAAUGUCACUAUUUUGAAUGGAACAGGAGCGAUCACCCUAGCAGUCUUGGCACAUAAAACACAUGCCAUGCAAAUGAGGAUGACAAAUAUUUUUCUGGAUCUCUGAAGUUAAUCUGGAGGAUCUUUCUACAACUGUAUCACAACCAAAGAGUAAAAUAUAUUGACGUUGACAUUUUAUGCAUUUAAGACCCAUAUUCUGUACAUGGCUCCUGUAGGAACCCUGUGAACUUGAAUCAUAGAGAAAACAUUCUGUCUUUAUACUCCUUAGAGAGUUCCAAAAUAAGGAAU